AGAGCCGACCAUCUCCCACUCGAGCUGCCCCCGCCCUCUGGACCCGAGUGACUCAGGCCUUUGUUUGUCCUUCCUGGUAGAGGCGGGUUCCCUCCCUCGGCAAGAUGCCGGAGUGCUGGGAUGGGGUGGGGGAAGGCAACGCUGGAGCCGUGAAGCUGGCAGGGCUAGGGGACCCCAGGUGGAGCCCAGGGCACCUCCUCUCGCCGGGGCAUCAGGAACAUGACAUCGAGACACCCUACGGCCUUCUGCAUGUAGUGAUCCGGGGCUCCCCCAAGGGGAACCGCCCAGCCAUCCUCACCUACCAUGAUGUGGGCCUCAACCGUAAGUGCAGCCCAGCCUCAGUCAGCCCUCCUCUGCCUCCAAUCAGCCAGAGCGGUGAGGCCCCCCACCCUCCCCACAGGGCCCUGUCAACCCCACUCACACUUACCUCUGUUGCCUUCGCCCUCCGGGCCUCCAUUUCCCCGAUGGACCCAAGGCUGACACUUCUGCCUUGCCUGCCCUCUGGGGGCCCGGCCUUCCUUCCAGUCCCCCGGCCCCUCUGCUCAGCCAUAGUGGAAGUGUGUCUUUGCAGACAAACUAUGCUUCAACACCUUCUUCAACUUCGAGGACAUGCAGGAGAUCACCAAGCACUUUGUGGUGUGUCACGUGGAUGCCCCUGGACAACAGGUGGGGGCGUCGCAGUUUCCUCAGGGGUACCAGUUCCCCUCCAUGGAGCAGCUGGCUGCCAUGCUCCCCAGCGUGGUGCAGCAUUUCGGGUUCAAGUAUGUGAUUGGCAUCGGAGUGGGCGCCGGAGCCUAUGUGCUGGCCAAGUUUGCACUCAUCUUCCCCGACCUGGUGGAGGGGCUGGUGCUGGUGAACAUCGACC
Molecule: small RNA, 865 nt
Filed under: Pan troglodytes (chimpanzee)
Lineage: Eukaryota; Metazoa; Chordata; Mammalia; Primates; Hominidae
Description: retained intron
Source: RNAcentral